This 652-nucleotide long non-coding RNA is filed under the name Mus spicilegus (steppe mouse). Its description in RNAcentral is "lncRNA (ENSMSIG00000016345.1)". Lineage: Eukaryota; Metazoa; Chordata; Mammalia; Rodentia; Muridae. The record is from RNAcentral.
GCUCAUCAACUUGCCCUGACCCCGAGGUUCAGCUUCCUCUUCCGGGGUCUUGUUUUUAUUAGCUAUUUUGUGUCAUUUACUAAAUUAUUUGUUGACUGAAAACCAGGAAUUCCACAAUCCACAGAAGAAAGGCAAGCCUUGGCGGACUAGGGACCGUGCCGCCUUUAGCUCAGCCUCAUAGCAGUGACAUUUCCCCCAAAUGUUGGCUAAUACACAUUGACUGGCACUUGCAAACUACUUUGGGUUUGUGUCUGCGAAGGGGAGGAGUCUUCCCUAAACUGCAGAUAGACCUGCUUGGGCCAGGGGGCAAGAAGUUCCUGGAGUUCGUGUGUGCCUUUGCUGUGACUCUGUUUCGUCCGAAAGGAACAGUUGGCAGGGAGUUUAGUGGCUUUAGAGGUGGAGGACUCAGAAGAUGGUGAGAGUCUUAAGGACUAGCGCAUCUGACUCUCGCCUGUGCUAAAAGGAAGAGUGGAAAGCUGUGGGGACGGAGGGCACGUGAGCAAAGGAGACUCAGGAGACUCCUCCUCCUCCUCCAGGUGGGUCCUCUCCCUCCUCCUCCUCCUCCUCCUCCUCCUCCUCCUCCUCCUCCUCCUCCUCCUCCUCCUCCGGGUGGGUCCUCUCCCUCCUCCUCUGGGUGGAUGCUCCCCCUCUG